UAGACAGUGGCGUAGCCAGGGUUGAAACGAUGUGGAUGCGAAAUUGUCGCCAAGCGAGGCGAAAAAAUUUUGGGACCAUAUUAUGCAGAAAAUUAUAUUUUUUUGGACAUUUUCCCAUUUAUGCAUGAGUAUUCCCCUAGAAUCCGACACUAGUUAGAUUUUUGUUUAAUUUCAAAAUACCAACCAAUAUAUAUUCAUUUUCCAACAGAAUUUUAUUGUUUUCUCGAAAGUACCUUCAUUCAAUUCAAAAAUAUUUAAUGUUAAAGUUUCACACUUGACAUCACAAAAAUAUAACAAGUACAGCGGCACCUCUGUUCAUGGAACUUUGGAAUAUAGGAACCGAAGUGAUCCCCUUUCUCGGAAUAUAAGCCUCACAAUGGGUUUUUUGAUUAAUUGUCUUAAAGCGUUGCAGUGGACAUGAAAAUACUGGGCGGCCUGCGUCCGUCUGGUCUUGUUAGCACUAUCAUGUAUACAAUUCCUGCCAGCUUUUUGUGAAACUUGUAUCAUCAGCAAUGUCUUUGACGAUUGCGAAAAUAAGUCCUGAUCAUCUAUUUUGAAC
Molecule: long non-coding RNA, 559 nt
Filed under: Mytilus galloprovincialis (Mediterranean mussel)
Lineage: Eukaryota; Metazoa; Mollusca; Bivalvia; Mytilida; Mytilidae
Source: RNAcentral